This 1059-nucleotide ribosomal RNA is filed under the name Coniochaeta acaciae. Its description in RNAcentral is "SSU rRNA". It matches the Rfam family "Eukaryotic small subunit ribosomal RNA", at positions 50 to 1125 of the family's 1831-position model. The record is from RNAcentral. Lineage: Eukaryota; Fungi; Ascomycota; Sordariomycetes; Coniochaetales; Coniochaetaceae.
CCUCAUGUCUAGUAUAGCAUUUCUACCGCGAAACUGCGAAUGGCUCAUUAAAUCAGUUAUCGUUUAUUUGAUAGUACCUUACUACUUGGAUAACCGUGGUAAUUCUAGAGCUAAUACAUGCUAAAAAUCCCGACUUCGGAAGGGAUGUAUUUAUUAGAUUAAAAACCAAUGCCCUUCGGGGCUCUCUGGUGAUUCAUAAUAACUUCUCGAAUCGCACGGCCUUGCGCCGGCGAUGGUUCAUUCAAAUUUCUGCCCUAUCAACUUUCGACGGCUGGGUCUUGGCCAGCCAUGGUGACAACGGGUAACGGAGGGUUAGGGCUCGACCCCGGAGAAGGAGCCUGAGAAACGGCUACUACAUCCAAGGAAGGCAGCAGGCGCGCAAAUUACCCAAUCCCGACUCGGGGAGGUAGUGACAAUAAAUACUGAUACAGGGCUCUUUUGGGUCUUGUAAUUGGAAUGAGUACAAUUUAAAUCCCUUAACGAGGAACAAUUGGAGGGCAAGUCUGGUGCCAGCAGCCGCGGUAAUUCCAGCUCCAAUAGCGUAUAUUAAAGUUGUUGCAGUUAAAAAGCUCGUAGUUGAACCUUGGGCCUGGCUGGCCGGUCCGCCUCACCGCGUGCACUGGUCCGGCCGGGCCUUUCCCUCUGGGGAACCGCAUGCCCUUCACUGGGUGUGUCGGGGAACCAGGACUUUUACUUUGAACAAAUUAGAUCGCUUAAAGAAGGCCUAUGCUCGAAUACAUUAGCAUGGAAUAAUAGAAUAGGACGUGUGGUUCUAUUUUGUUGGUUUCUAGGACCGCCGUAAUGAUUAAUAGGGACAGUCGGGGGCAUCAGUAUUCAAUUGUCAGAGGUGAAAUUCUUGGAUUUAUUGAAGACUAACUACUGCGAAAGCAUUUGCCAAGGAUGUUUUCAUUAAUCAGGAACGAAAGUUAGGGGAUCGAAGACGAUCAGAUACCGUCGUAGUCUUAACCAUAAACUAUGCCGACUAGGGAUCGGACGAUGUUAUAUUUUGACUCGUUCGGCACCUUACACGAAAGUAAAGUUUCUGGGUCUGGGGGAGUA